RNAcentral lists this ribosomal RNA (497 nucleotides) under uncultured bacterium. RNAcentral's name for it is "partial 16S ribosomal RNA". It matches the Rfam family "Bacterial small subunit ribosomal RNA", at positions 28 to 507 of the family's 1533-position model. The record is from RNAcentral.
GACGAACGCUGGCGGCGUGCCUAAUACAUGCAAGUUGAGCGCUGAAGGUUGGUACUUGUACCAACUGGAUGAGCAGCGAACGGGUGAGUAACGCGUGGGGAAUCUGCCUUUGAGCGGGGGACAACAUUUGGAAACGAAUGCUAAUACCGCAUAAAAACUUUAAACACAAGUUUUAAGUUUGAAAGAUGCAAUUGCAUCACUCAAAGAUGAUCCCGCGUUGUAUUAGCUAGUUGGUGAGGUAAAGGCUCACCAAGGCGAUGAUACAUAGCCGACCUGAGAGGGUGAUCGGCCACAUUGGGACGGAGACACGGCCCAAACUCCUACGGGAGGCAGCAGUAGGGAAUCUUCGGCAAUGGACGAAAGUCUGACCGAGCAACGCCGCGGGAGUGAAGAAGGUUUUCGGAUCGUAAAAAUCUGUUGGUAGAGAAGAACGUUGGUGAGAGUGGAAAGCUCAUCAAGUGACGGUAACUACCCAGAAAGGGACGGCUAACUACGUG